RNAcentral lists this ribosomal RNA (215 nucleotides) under uncultured bacterium. RNAcentral's name for it is "partial 16S ribosomal RNA". It matches the Rfam family "Bacterial small subunit ribosomal RNA", at positions 1278 to 1500 of the family's 1533-position model. The record is from RNAcentral.
AAAGCCUGUCUCAGUUCGGAUUGGAGUCUGCAACCCGACUCCAUGAAGCUGGAUUCGCUAGUAAUCGCGCAUCAGCCACGGCGCGGUGAAUACGUUCCCGGGCCUUGUACACACCGCCCGUCAAGCCAUGGAAGCCGGGGGUGCCUGAAGUGCGCUGCCGCAAGGAGCGCCCUAGGGUAAAACCGGUGACUGGGGCUAAGUCGUAACAAGGUAGC